GGCAAUUCUUCAGAAGUUAUGGCAACAAAAUUAUACAAGAAGCCAUGUUUCAGGUGUGGGAAACAUGGACACAGAGAAAAGAAUUGCCCAGAGCCUUCAGGAAACGUGAAAGCACCAGGUCUUUGACCAAGAUGCAGAAGAGGAAGACCUUAUGCAAGUCAAUGUCACUCAAAGAUAGAUGUGGAUGGAAAACUCCUACCCCUUCCAGGGAAUGGGACGAGAAGCACACAAGUAAUGACAGUGACUCAGCAGUCUGGGAUCCUUCAAGGAACACAAUCUGUGGGGAACCCCAAUCAAACUCCAUCUGCAGAACCAUCUACAACUUUCCAAACAACCCAGAAUUGGCAAAUUCCUAAUUAGCAUACUUUAUGAAUGAGAAUGAGAUUGAGAAUUAUGCAGUGAUUCCCACGGGGGUCACUGGAACAUCAUGGAGGAAACAAGAAUUUUAAUUAUAAGCAAAGACAGAAAAAGUACUCUACAGCUCAUUGUCUAUUCAUCAGUCAUCUCAAUGAACUGUGAUGAAGAGUUAACAGUUUUGACCCAGCCCUUGCAUCCUCUGUUGAUCAUUCCAAGGAAUGCACCAAUAGUCAAGGCCAUUGCUUUGCCAUCAAAUAGAACACAAAAAGGGAAGUGGAAUUUUGAUGAAAGUCACUGCAACACUCACUACCUUGAGAUGAACUUGAAAGACAGACAAUCUUGUCUGGGUAAGCCGGUAGUCCCUGAGACAGAAGAAACUGAGUGUGCCCAAGAAACUGGUGAAAGAUCAAUUUCAGAAAGAUCACAUCAAGACAAUAAAUAGUCCCUGGAAUUCUCUGGUGUUUUGUCAUCCAUAAGAAAACCUCCAACUCAUGGAGAUUGUUUCACUUCAGCUCGGACUGCCCAAUCUCUCAAUGAUUCUGAGAGACUGAUCGCUUGUAAUCAUUGAUCUGAAAGAUUGCUUCUUCAACAUUCCAUGUCAUCCAGCCACCAGAGACGCAUCCUGACAACUAGUUCCUAUGGAUAGUGAUGACUGAUGAAUAACAAUGAUUGCAGAUCAACCCUAAUGCUUGCUAGAAUGUUGUAAUGCAUUAAGGAACAUGGUAUGAUCCGGAGAGACACCCUUUGAGCUGCAGAGUGGUUAGUCUCUUCCCCUGACUCCUCCCUUGUAAUGUUUUUCUAUUGGCUGUAAUUUGUAAUCCUUCCCCCCUUUCGCCUCCCUUCAAAAAGCAGCACUGGGCCAGUCUCUUCCUCCUUUCUGCAUGGGAUCCCCUGAAUAAAGCUGGGACCUUGUCCCAGGAAGAGAAGAGCCUCGUUUUUACCUCUAAUCCUUGCUAUUUAGAUAAAACCCCCCCUCCUCUGGACCAUGGCUGGGCAGAACGUGACCCCAGGGAAGCAGGGGGAAUAAAAAUAGCAGUUGGUGCCCAUUGGUGGGGCUUUUUAGAGACCCCCAAGAGUGGCUAAAAGCUCACGUGUGUGUUUCGCAAGCCUGGAAGAUGUCAGCUACCAUGCGACCUACAGCACAGGCACAGCUCACAAGGCAGAGGCUGGUAGCCUUCUCCAGCCCGGAGAAGGUCAGUCUCAGGAAUAGGGAUCUUCUUAACUGCCCAAGAAAACUGAGGAUGUAAAAGCAGUCUAACCAUUGGACAGUCAUUGGAGUGAACCUGCAGGAUAAUUCACAAGACAUGGCAUGACUGGAUAAAAAAGCCUACCUCACACUCAAACCCAUGAUGAGCCUUACCUCUGCUGUCAUCCUGCUCACACUGAGCAGUCUGGCAGCUGCCUGGAUUGUCCCUCAGCCACAACAGAACAUCUGGGUGACCGUGGCACAAACACUCCAGCAAGAGAAUAUCUGCUUGUUCACUGCAGCAGCAAAAGACCCUAUGUCCACCUGUCUGGUAGGCAUCCCACUGCAGGCUGGUGACAUUCCAGUGAGCUUUGACACUCCCAGGCCUAACACAUUUCCCAAAACACACAGCGCCCAGCCACAUGAAAGCCAUAAGCGGCAGGCUGUAGUAGUUAAGAACCCUGUGGAGGAGUGGUUACCAAAACUGCCCAUGGCAGAUAAGGAACCCCAAGAAUUAGAGCUGUUGGGUUCCUCCCCCGCACCUUAUUGUGUCCACUUCACUUACAAUUCGCUGUCUGAUACUAAACUAUAUCACCACAUAAUCCUGUAUCGAGAGGAAUUCAAAGCAAAAAAAUGGUGUAGUAUGCUAAGUCAUGUCACAGCAGAUGAUCCUCUCCACUCUACAUCCAAAAUACCUCCCUAAAGGUAUAUUUUUGAUUUGUGGGGAUAGACCAUGGGCAGGGAUCCCAUCUCGGCUUCGAGGAGGGCUGUGUACUUUCAGGCGGCUGUCCCUGUUAGCACCCAUACAAACCCAAAUCACUAAAUGGAUUCAGAAAGACAAUUCGACCCAAAAAUUCCACAAGAGAAGCACUGGUAUUUUGGACCAAAAUUGUGAUUCUGAAAUUUUCCAUUGGGCAAAAUCAAAAAGAAUUGCUGUAUCCAUAUUUCUUCCAUGGGUUGCAGCUGCCAAAGCACUAGGUGAGUUAGGACACCCAGAGUGCUGGGUAGUCAAACAGGCAAAUUUAACAUCUGCCACCCUCAGCUCCCUCCUAGAAGACAAGGAGAUCACCAGGCAAGCUACACUUCAGAACCGAGCAGCCAUAGAUUUCCUUCUGCUGCUGCAUGGACACAAAUGCCAGGAAUUUGAAGGACUUUGCUGCUUAAACCUGACCUCGAAAGCUCCCAACGUCCACGUAGCCCUCCGAGAACUGAAAAACCUGAUUGGACAAGUGAAGCAAAAAUCGGAGGACUGAUUUAGCGAGCUGUUCAAAGGCUGGGGACUCACGGGAUGGUGGACUUCAAUAGUUAAAACAAUCCUGUUGAUUUUUGUUGAGAUGUUUCUGAUCAUACUAGCACUCAGGAUUGUUCAUUGUUUAAUUUUGAAGGCUCUCAGUAGUUUAAUCCCCUCUACCUCAGAAGUCAACCACAUAGAGCUAGCAGACUGAACGCAACCUAACCGACCCGCCAAUCACAAGUGGUGGACAAUCUUGUGUUCUGCGUAAGAAUAAGCCCAAAGCCCUAUCUUUAAUUUUAUAUAAUAAAAAAGGGGAAGGUGUUGUAAUGCAUUAAGGAACAUGGUAUGACCCGGAGAGACACCCUCUGAGCUGCAGAGCGGUUAGUCUCUUCCCCUGACUCCUCCCUUGUAAUGUUUUUCUAUUGGCUGUAAUUUGUAAUUCUUCCCCCUUUUCCCUCCCUUCAAAAAGCAGCGCCGGGCCAGUCUCUUCCUCUUUUCUGCAUCAGAUCCCCCGAAUAAAGCCGGGACCUCAUCCCAGAAAGAGAAGAGCCUC
This is a long non-coding RNA of Poecile atricapillus (Black-capped chickadee), 3330 nucleotides long. RefSeq lists it as uncharacterized. The transcript is spliced from 3 exons. The record is from RefSeq and is a predicted model, not a curated record. Lineage: Eukaryota; Metazoa; Chordata; Aves; Passeriformes; Paridae.